This 446-nucleotide ribosomal RNA is filed under the name uncultured bacterium. RNAcentral's name for it is "bacterial SSU rRNA". It matches the Rfam family "Bacterial small subunit ribosomal RNA", at positions 28 to 507 of the family's 1533-position model. The record is from RNAcentral.
GGUUAACGCUGGGCGGCGUGCCUAACACAUGCAAGUCGAACGGUUCUAAGCGCGAGCUUAGGAUAGUGGCGAACGGGUGAGUAAAAGGUAGGAAUCUACCCCUUGGACGGAGAUAGCUACUGGAAACGGUAGGUAAACUUCGAUAAGCCCGAGAGGGGAAAGUGGUGAGACAGCCGAGGGAUGAGCCUACUCUCCAUCAGGUAGUUGGUAGGGUAAUAGCCUACCAAGCCGAUGACGGGUAGCCGGCCUGAGAGGGUGGUCGGCCACAUUGGGACUGAGACACGGCCCAAACUCCUACGGGAGGCAGCAGCCGGGAAUAUUCCGCAAUGGGGGAAACCCUGACGGAGCGACGCCGCGUGAGGGAAGAAGCCCUUCGGGGUGUAAACCUCUUUUCUCGGGGAAGAGUAGAGACGGUACCCGAGGAAUAAGCCCCGGCUAACUACGUG